Molecule: long non-coding RNA, 716 nt
Organism: Syngnathus typhle (broad-nosed pipefish)
Lineage: Eukaryota; Metazoa; Chordata; Actinopteri; Syngnathiformes; Syngnathidae
Exons: 2
Source: RefSeq, a predicted model, not a curated record
GAUGUGAUGGUUGUGUGUGCAAAAACAUUAAUUAUGCACAUGUUGAAACGUUAAUAACCUUAAUUUAAUUCAUUUCCAUUUCAUCUGUCCUCAUAGAUUAGUUAUAUGACCUAAUGUCAUUAAGUUUCAGAAUCCUAAAGCCAGCCCUUCUGGUCUAACUAAAAGCAGAUGUUGGGUUAACUUGUGUUUAUGUUCUUGAGCACAUUCCUUUUUACCUCCUCCAUGUGUCUGCCCUGCUGUGGCUGUACCUCGGCUCAGUGUCUACACAGCUGGAGCCCAGAGCAGUGACUUGGCUGUUAGAACCUCAACAGAGAUCCAUUUCGCUAGUCCCCACGGGGGUCACGGACGUGCUGGAGCCUAUCCCAGCAGUCAUCGGGCAGUAGACGGGGGACACCCUGAACUGGUUCCCAGCCAAUCGCAGGGCACACCGAGACAAACAACCAUCCGCACUCGCACUUAGGGGCAAUUGUACAAUUUAGAGUGCUCAGUCAAUAUACCAUGCUUGUUUUUUAGGAUGUGAGAGGAAACCGGAGUGCCCGGAGAAAACCCACGCAGGCACGGGUAGAACAUGCAAACUCCGCACAGGAAGGUCCGGAGGUGGAAUCGAAUCUGCACCCUCCUAACUGUGAGGCAGACGUUCUAACCAGUGUUCCUCCAUGUUACCUUAUAUAUAUGUAGGCAUUUUCAUAAAAUAAAUGACUAUCUAAACAUUUGAA